UACGGAGGGUGCGAGCGUUAUCCGGAAUCACUGGGCGUAAAGGGCGCGUAGGCGGUUUGUUAAGUCCGAUGUUAAAGACCGAGGCUCAACCUCGACACGGCGUUGGAUACUGGCAAGCUGGACGGUUGGAGAGGAAGGUAGAAUUACCAGUGUAGCGGUGGAAUGCGUAGAUACUGGUAGGAAUACCCAUUGCGAAGGCAGCCUUCUGGACAACCCGUGACGCUGAGGCG
RNAcentral lists this ribosomal RNA (230 nucleotides) under uncultured microorganism. RNAcentral's name for it is "partial 16S ribosomal RNA". It matches the Rfam family "Bacterial small subunit ribosomal RNA", at positions 524 to 753 of the family's 1533-position model. The record is from RNAcentral.